RNAcentral lists this ribosomal RNA (561 nucleotides) under Triticum aestivum (bread wheat). RNAcentral's name for it is "partial small subunit ribosomal RNA". Lineage: Eukaryota; Viridiplantae; Streptophyta; Magnoliopsida; Poales; Poaceae. The record is from RNAcentral.
AUGAUGAGGGAGGAAACCGUCGAUGCGUUCAAAUGGUUAUUUCAGUCUUUCAGUUGUGCAAUGCAUGGAAAAAGGCCGUCGGCAAUUCUGACAGAUAACUGUUAUCAGAUGGAAGUGGCAAUCGCGGAGGUGUGGCCUGGUACGGUUCAUAGAGUUUGCAAGUGGCAUGUACUGAAGAAUGCUAAAGAGAACUUUGGGAACAUAUAUAGCAAGAGGAGCACUUUCAAGAAUGAGUUUCAUAGAGUUUUGAAUGACCCGCAAACAAUAGAUGAGUUCGAGAGAGCUUGGAUUGAUUUAGUGAAAAGGUAUGAACUGGAGUCUAGCACAUACAUGAAACGGAUGUGGGAUAUGAGGACACAAUGGGCUCCUGUUUACUUCAAAUCACAUUUUUUUGCUAAAAUGUCGACCACUCAGAGAAGUGAGAGUAUGAACCAUGUUCUUAAGAAGUAUGUGAAGCCAUCUUCUCCGAUGAAUGUCCUUGUCAGGAAGUAUGAAAGUUUCUUUUAUGACAGAAUACAGGAGGAAGACGCCGAAGAGUUCCACACAUCUGAUAUAAGAUAA